GAAUGUUUGGAGGACAUUGAAGUUGG
Molecule: non-coding RNA, 26 nt
Filed under: Rattus norvegicus (Norway rat)
Lineage: Eukaryota; Metazoa; Chordata; Mammalia; Rodentia; Muridae
Source: RNAcentral